RNAcentral lists this ribosomal RNA (351 nucleotides) under Triticum aestivum (bread wheat). Its description in RNAcentral is "partial small subunit ribosomal RNA". The record is from RNAcentral. Lineage: Eukaryota; Viridiplantae; Streptophyta; Magnoliopsida; Poales; Poaceae.
AUGGAUUUGGAGACUUCCAGGCUGCAGAAUGUGAACAUGCCGGCAUAUUACCAUUCAUCAGCAUUUCAUGAAGUGAGGGCGACAACUGAUCCUCUCUACAAAUGGCUAUUUAUAAUUUGCCUAUUGCACGCUUCUGUCCGUUUGACUCGUUUACACCUGCGUAUGCAAUUACUGUCCAAGCUUCACUCUUCAGUAUGCAGUGCACCCCUGAUCUGUAUGUGGAUCAGGUUACCUAACAUACUGGAUUUUACCGAGCUGGAUGGCACAAGACAAAAGAGGGCGGGCAUCUUGGCUGCUGCCUGGAAACAUUCUGGGAAACAUGACUCGGUCAUUGUUCUUGACCCCUCUUGA